This 429-nucleotide ribosomal RNA is filed under the name Fusobacteriota bacterium. RNAcentral describes it as "Fusobacteria bacterium partial 16S ribosomal RNA". It matches the Rfam family "Bacterial small subunit ribosomal RNA", at positions 355 to 776 of the family's 1533-position model. Lineage: Bacteria; Fusobacteriati; Fusobacteriota. The record is from RNAcentral.
UGGGGAAUAUUGCGCAAUGGGCGAAAGCCUGACGCAGCGACGCCGCGCGAGGGAUGAAGGUUUUCGGAUCGUAAACCUCUGUCAGAAGGGAAGAAACCGCACUGUGCUAAUCAGCAGUGCCUUGACGGUACCUUCAAAGGAAGCACCGGCUAACUCCGUGCCAGCAGCCGCGGUAAUACGGAGGGUGCAAGCGUUAAUCGGAAUUACUGGGCGUAAAGCGCACGUAGGCUGCUUUGUAAGUCAGGGGUGAAAUCCCACGGCUCAACCGUGGAACUGCCUUUGAUACUGCUUAGCUUGAAUCCGGGAGAGGGUGGCGGAAUUCCAGGUGUAGGAGUGAAAUCCGUAGAUAUCUGGAGGAACAUCAGUGGCGAAGGCGGCCACCUGGACCGGUAUUGACGCUGAGGUGCGAAAGCGUGGGGAGCAAACAGG